GUGAGGAAUUUUCCGCAAUGGGCGAAAGCCUGACGGAGCAAUGCCGCGUGAAGGAUGAAGGCCUAUGGGUUGUAAACUUCUUUUCUCAGAAAAGAAUUAUGACGGUAUCUGAGGAAUAAGCAUCGGCUAACUCUGUGCCAGCAGCCGCGGUAAGACAGAGGAUGCAAGCGUUAUCCGGAAUGAUUGGGCGUAAAGCGUCUGUAGGUUGUUUAAAAAGUAUUCUGUCAAAGAUUAGGGCUUAACCCUAGAUAGGCAGAAUAAACUUUUAAGCUAGAGUUUGGUAGAGGCAGAGGGAAUUCUCGGUGGAGCGGUGAAAUGCGUAGAUAUCGGGAGGAACACCAAAGGCGAAGGCACUCUGCUGGGCCAAUACUAACACUGAGAGACGAAAGCGAGGGGAGCAAAUGGGAUUAGAAACCCGGGUAGUCC
Molecule: ribosomal RNA, 426 nt
Filed under: uncultured bacterium
Lineage: Bacteria
Description: partial 16S ribosomal RNA
Rfam family: Bacterial small subunit ribosomal RNA
Source: RNAcentral